RNAcentral lists this transfer RNA (58 nucleotides) under Panagrellus redivivus. RNAcentral's name for it is "tRNA-Arg". The record is from RNAcentral. Lineage: Eukaryota; Metazoa; Nematoda; Chromadorea; Rhabditida; Panagrolaimidae.
AAACGUUAAAUAGAUAAUUUACUAUGUUUGAUUGCGUUUCAAAAAGAUUAAACGUUUU